ACCAGCACUCCUGUUGUUGGACAGAAAGACAUCAACUCAGUGACUUGAGAUGUGACUGCACGAUGCUGUUGCUUCGACUCCAGUUAAUUCUACAAGACAUGCUGUGACACCAGGAGAGAUGAGUCCUCCGUCACAGAUGGUGUG
This is a long non-coding RNA of Oreochromis niloticus (Nile tilapia), 144 nucleotides long. RefSeq lists it as uncharacterized. NCBI's taxonomy places the organism in Eukaryota, Metazoa, Chordata, Actinopteri, Cichliformes, Cichlidae. The record is from RefSeq and is a predicted model, not a curated record. The transcript has 3 exons.